CCUACGGGAGGCAGCAGUGAGGAAUAUUGGUCAAUGGGCGCGAGCCUGAACCAGCCAAGUAGCGUGAAGGAUGACUGCCCUACGGGUUGUAAACUUCUGUUAUAAAGGAAUAAAGUGAGGCACGAGGGCCUUGUGGUAUGGACUUUAUGAAUAAGGAUCGGCUAACUACGUGACAGCAGCCGAGGUAAGACAGAGGAUACGAGCGUUAUCCGGAUUUGUUGGGGUUAAAGGGAGCGUAGAUGUGUUGUUAAGUCAGUUGUGAAAGUGUGCGGCUCAACCGUAAAAUUGUAAUUGGUACUGGCAGUCUUGAGUACAGUAGGGGUAGGCGGAAUUCGUGGUGUAGCAGUGAAAUGCUUAGAUAUCACGAAGAACUCCGAUUGCGAAGGCAGCUUACUAAACUGCCACUGACAUUGAUGCUCGAAAGUGUGGGUAUCAAACAGGAUUAGAUACCCGUGUAGUC
Molecule: ribosomal RNA, 460 nt
Filed under: uncultured bacterium
Lineage: Bacteria
Description: partial 16S ribosomal RNA
Rfam family: Bacterial small subunit ribosomal RNA
Source: RNAcentral